UCUUCCGCAAUGGACGAAAGUCUGACGGAGCAACGCCGCGUGAGUGAUGAAGGUUUUCGGAUCGUAAAACUCUGUUGUUAGGGGAGAACAAGUACCGUUCGAAUAGGGCGGCACCUUGACGGUACCUAACCCGAAAGCCACGGCUAACUCAGUGCCAGCAUCCGCGGUAAUACGUAGGUGGCAAGCGUUGUACGGAAUUAUUGGGCGUAAAGCGCGCGCAGACGGUUUCUUAAGUCUGAUGUGAAAGCCCCCGGCUCAACCGGGGAGGGUCAUUGGAAACUGGGGAACUUGAGUGCAGAAGAGGAGAGUGGAAUUCCACGUGUAGCGGUGAAAUGCGUAGAGAUGUGGAGGAACACCAGUGGCGAAGGCGACUCUCUGGUCUGUAACUGACGCUGAGGCGCGAAAGCAUGGGGAGCGAACAG
RNAcentral lists this ribosomal RNA (422 nucleotides) under uncultured bacterium. RNAcentral's name for it is "bacterial SSU rRNA". It matches the Rfam family "Bacterial small subunit ribosomal RNA", at positions 362 to 775 of the family's 1533-position model. The record is from RNAcentral.